This 253-nucleotide ribosomal RNA is filed under the name uncultured bacterium. RNAcentral's name for it is "partial 16S ribosomal RNA". It matches the Rfam family "Bacterial small subunit ribosomal RNA", at positions 524 to 776 of the family's 1533-position model. The record is from RNAcentral.
UACGUAGGGAGCAAGCGUUGUUCGGAAUUACUGGGCGUAAAGGGCGCGUAGGCGGCCUGCUAAGUCGAACGUGAAAUCCCCGGGCUCAACCCGGGAACUGCGUCCGAUACUGGCAGGCUUGAAUCCGGGAGAGGGAUGUGGAAUUCCAGGUGUAGCGGUGAAAUGCGUAGAUAUCUGGAGGAACACCGGUGGCGAAGGCGGCAUCCUGGACCGGCAUUGACGCUGAGGCGCGAAAGCCAGGGGAGCAAACGGG